GAAAGUAAAGAAGGGCGCAUGGCGGAUGCCUUGGCUCUCGGAGGCGAUGAAGGACGUGAUAAGCUGCGAUAAGCUUUGGGGAGGUGCAAAUGACCUUUGAUCCAGAGAUUUCCGAAUGGGACAACCCAAUAUCUUGAAGAGGUAUUAUCCAACGUUGUUGGAGGCUAACGCAGGGAACUGAAACAUCUUAGUACCUGCAGGAAAAGAAAAUAAACAAUGAUUCCCCCAGUAGUGGCGAGCGAACGGGGAACAGCCCAAACCAUCCAUGUUACGGCAUGGGUGGGGUUGUAGGACUACGCCGUUGCAUGAAGACAUCAGAGAAGAACUUUCUGGAAAGAAAGACCAUAGAGCAUGACAGUUGCGUAUUCGAAUGUUGUCGAAGCAUAGUAGUAUCCUGAGUAGCGCGGAGCACGAGGAAUUCUGCGUGAAUCUGCCGGGACCAUCCGGUAAGGCUAAAUACUCCCGAGAGACCGAUAGCGAACCAGUACCGUGAGGGAAAGGUGAAAAGCACUUCGAACAGAAGAGUGAAAUAGUUCCUGAAACCGUGCGCCUACAAGCGGUCGGAGCUCGUUAAUGAGUGACGGCGUGCCUUUUGCAUAAUGAACCUACGAGUUGCCUUUGCCGGCAAGGUUAAGUGUGACGACACACGUAUCCGAAGCGAAAGCGAGUCUGAACAGGGCGUAUAGUCGGCAGUGGCAGACGCGAAACCAAGUGAUCUACCCUUGGCCAGGUUGAAGGCUGGGUAACACCAGCUGGAGGACCGCACCAAUAAGCGUUGAAAAGCUUCUGGAUGAGCUGAGGGUAGGGGUGAAAGGCUAAUCAAACUUGGAGAUAGCUCGUACUCCCCGAAAUGCAUUUAGGUGCAGCCUUGCGGGUUACUGAUGUGAGGUAGAGCGACUGAUAAGAUGCGAGGGCUUCACCGCCUAUCAAGUCUUGACAAACUCCGAAUGCGCAUCAGUUCUACCGCAGGAGUGAGGGCAUGGGUGCUAAGGUCCGUGCCCGAGAGGAGAAGAAUCCGGACCACCUGCUAAGGUCCCGAAAUGACAGCUAAGUUAAACUAACGAAGUCUGACUGCUAAGACAGCUAGGAUGUUGGCUUGGAAGCAGCCAUUCAUUUAAAGAGUGCGUAACAGCUCACUAGUCGAGGAGUCGGGCGUGGAUAAUAAUCGGGUAUUAAGUUGUCUACCGAAGCAGUGGGAUCAUUAAUAUGAUCGGUAGGGGAGCAUUCCAGUCAGCGUCGAAGGCGUACCGUGAGGUAUUCUGGAGCGUCUGGAAAAGCAAAUGUAGGUAUAAGUAACGAUAAAGGGGGCGGGAAACCCCCUCGCCGAAAGACUAAGGUUUCCUGAUCAACGCUAAUCGGAUCAGGGUCAGUCGGGUCCUAAGGCUCAGCCGAACGGCGAUGCCGAUGGCAGAAACGGUUAAUAUUCCGUUACUACCUUCAGGAGUGACGUGGAGACGCAGUAGUGACAGUGCCGCCAUCUGACGGAAUAGAUGGUUGAAGGGUGUAGGAGUCGAUCAUGGCAGGCAAAUCCACCAUGAGAUCCGAACCUGACAGUAUGCCGCGUCCUUCGGGACAAGGCAAUAGUGCGCGUAAGCAUGCUGCCGAGAAAAUCCGCUAAACUUAAUCCUGCAGGUACCCGUACCGCAAACGGACACACGUAGUCGGGAUGAAUAUUCUAAGGCGCUUGAGUGAUUCACGGUUAAGGAACUAGGCAAACUGACCCUGUAACUUCGGGAUAAAGGGUCCCUACCCUUUUAUGGGAGGGCGCAGAGAAUCGGUCCAGGCAACUGUUUAACAAAAACACAGGGCUGUGCCAAAUCGAAAGAUCCAGUAUACAGCCUGACACCUGCCCGGUGCUGGAAGGUUAAGAGGAGAUGUCAUCGAUAAGAGAAGCGUUGAAUUGAAGCCCCAGUAAACGGCGGCCGUAACUAUAACGGUCCUAAGGUAGCGAAAUUCCUUGUCGGGUAAGUUCCGACCUGCACGAAUGGUGUAAUGAUCUGGACGCUGUCUCAACCGUGAGCUCAGUGAAAUUGUAGUAUCGGUGAAGAUGCCGAUUACCCGCGAUGGGACGAAAAGACCCCGUGAACCUUUACUAUAGCUUAUCAUUGAAUCUGGGCACGUGAUGUGUAGGAUAGGUCGGAGGCUUUGAAGCAGGUACGCCAGUAUUUGUGGAGCCGCUGUUGAAAUACGACCCUUUAUUUGUUUGGAUUCUAACCCGUGGAACGGGGACAUUGAUUGGUGGGUAGUUUGACUGGGGUGGUCGCCUCCAAAAGCGUAACGGAGGCUUCUAAAGGUGCCCUCCGGCCGAUUGGUAACCGGCCUUAGAGUGUAAUGGCAUAAGGGCGCUUGACUGGGAGACUAACAAGUCGAUCAGGUAGGAAACUAGAGCAUAGUGAUCCGGUGUUUCCGUAUGGAAGGGACAUCGCUCAAAGGAUAAAAGGUACUCCGGGGAUAACAGGCUGAUCCCUCCCAAGAGCUCAUAUCGACGGAGUGGUUUGGCACCUCGAUGUCGGCUCGUCACAUCCUGGGGCUGGAGAAGGUCCCAAGGGUUGGGCUGUUCGCCCAUUAAAGUGGCACGCGAGCUGGGUUCAGAACGUCGUGAGACAGUUCGGUCUCUAUCU
This 2621-nucleotide ribosomal RNA is filed under the name human gut metagenome. RNAcentral's name for it is "bacterial LSU rRNA". It matches the Rfam family "Bacterial large subunit ribosomal RNA". The record is from RNAcentral.